Molecule: ribosomal RNA, 459 nt
Filed under: uncultured bacterium
Lineage: Bacteria
Description: partial 16S ribosomal RNA
Rfam family: Bacterial small subunit ribosomal RNA
Source: RNAcentral
CCUACGGGCGGCAGCAGUGAGGAAUAUUGGUCAAUGGCCGAGAGGCUGAACCAGCCAAGUCGCGUGAGGGAAGAAGGUCCUACGGGUUGUAAACCUCUUUUGCCGGGGAGCAAAGCGAGUCACGUGUGACUCAUUGAGAGUACCCGAAGAAAAAGCAUCGGCUAACUCCUUGCCAGCAGCCGCGGUAAUAUGGGGGAUACGAGCGUUAUCCGGAUUUAUUGGGCUGAAAGGGUGCGCAGGCGGAGGUGCAAGUCAGCGGUAAAAUUCCGGGGCUAAAGCCCGUACUGCCGUUGAAACUGGAUCCCUGGAGUGUGCGAGAGGUAUGCGGAAGGCGUGGUGUAGCGGUGAAAUGCAUAGAUAUCACGCAGAACUCCGAUUGCGAAGGCAGCAUACCGGCGCGCAACUGACGCUCAUGCACGAAAGCGUGGGUAUCGAACAGGAUUAGAUACCCCUGUAGUC